Molecule: ribosomal RNA, 2903 nt
Filed under: Escherichia coli
Lineage: Bacteria; Pseudomonadati; Pseudomonadota; Gammaproteobacteria; Enterobacterales; Enterobacteriaceae
Description: 23S ribosomal RNA
Rfam family: Bacterial large subunit ribosomal RNA
Source: RNAcentral
GGUUAAGCGACUAAGCGUACACGGUGGAUGCCCUGGCAGUCAGAGGCGAUGAAGGACGUGCUAAUCUGCGAUAAGCGUCGGUAAGGUGAUAUGAACCGUUAUAACCGGCGAUUUCCGAAUGGGGAAACCCAGUGUGAUUCGUCACACUAUCAUUAACUGAAUCCAUAGGUUAAUGAGGCGAACCGGGGGAACUGAAACAUCUAAGUACCCCGAGGAAAAGAAAUCAACCGAGAUUCCCCCAGUAGCGGCGAGCGAACGGGGAGCAGCCCAGAGCCUGAAUCAGUGUGUGUGUUAGUGGAAGCGUCUGGAAAGGCGCGCGAUACAGGGUGACAGCCCCGUACACAAAAAUGCACAUGCUGUGAGCUCGAUGAGUAGGGCGGGACACGUGGUAUCCUGUCUGAAUAUGGGGGGACCAUCCUCCAAGGCUAAAUACUCCUGACUGACCGAUAGUGAACCAGUACCGUGAGGGAAAGGCGAAAAGAACCCCGGCGAGGGGAGUGAAAAAGAACCUGAAACCGUGUACGUACAAGCAGUGGGAGCACGCUUAGGCGUGUGACUGCGUACCUUUUGUAUAAUGGGUCAGCGACUUAUAUUCUGUAGCAAGGUUAACCGAAUAGGGGAGCCGAAGGGAAACCGAGUCUUAACUGGGCGUUAAGUUGCAGGGUAUAGACCCGAAACCCGGUGAUCUAGCCAUGGGCAGGUUGAAGGUUGGGUAACACUAACUGGAGGACCGAACCGACUAAUGUUGAAAAAUUAGCGGAUGACUUGUGGCUGGGGGUGAAAGGCCAAUCAAACCGGGAGAUAGCUGGUUCUCCCCGAAAGCUAUUUAGGUAGCGCCUCGUGAAUUCAUCUCCGGGGGUAGAGCACUGUUUCGGCAAGGGGGUCAUCCCGACUUACCAACCCGAUGCAAACUGCGAAUACCGGAGAAUGUUAUCACGGGAGACACACGGCGGGUGCUAACGUCCGUCGUGAAGAGGGAAACAACCCAGACCGCCAGCUAAGGUCCCAAAGUCAUGGUUAAGUGGGAAACGAUGUGGGAAGGCCCAGACAGCCAGGAUGUUGGCUUAGAAGCAGCCAUCAUUUAAAGAAAGCGUAAUAGCUCACUGGUCGAGUCGGCCUGCGCGGAAGAUGUAACGGGGCUAAACCAUGCACCGAAGCUGCGGCAGCGACACUAUGUGUUGUUGGGUAGGGGAGCGUUCUGUAAGCCUGUGAAGGUGUACUGUGAGGUAUGCUGGAGGUAUCAGAAGUGCGAAUGCUGACAUAAGUAACGAUAAAGCGGGUGAAAAGCCCGCUCGCCGGAAGACCAAGGGUUCCUGUCCAACGUUAAUCGGGGCAGGGUGAGUCGACCCCUAAGGCGAGGCCGAAAGGCGUAGUCGAUGGGAAACAGGUUAAUAUUCCUGUACUUGGUGUUACUGCGAAGGGGGGACGGAGAAGGCUAUGUUGGCCGGGCGACGGUUGUCCCGGUUUAAGCGUGUAGGCUGGUUUUCCAGGCAAAUCCGGAAAACUAAGGCUGAGGCGUGAUGACGAGGCACUACGGUGCUGAAGCAACAAAUGCCCUGCUUCCAGGAAAAGCCUCUAAGCAUCAGGUAACAUCAAAUCGUACCCCAAACCGACACAGGUGGUCAGGUAGAGAAUACCAAGGCGCUUGAGAGAACUCGGGUGAAGGAACUAGGCAAAAUGGUGCCGUAACUUCGGGAGAAGGCACGCUGAUAUGUAGGUGAAGUCCCUCGCGGAUGGAGCUGAAAUCAGUCGAAGAUACCAGCUGGCUGCAACUGUUUAUUAAAAACACAGCACUGUGCAAACACGAAAGUGGACGUAUACGGUGUGACGCCUGCCCGGUGCCGGAAGGUUAAUUGAUGGGGUUAGCGCAAGCGAAGCUCUUGAUCGAAGCCCCGGUAAACGGCGGCCGUAACUAUAACGGUCCUAAGGUAGCGAAAUUCCUUGUCGGGUAAGUUCCGACCUGCACGAAUGGCGUAAUGAUGGCCAGGCUGUCUCCACCCGAGACUCAGUGAAAUUGAACUCGCUGUGAAGAUGCAGUGUACCCGCGGCAAGACGGAAAGACCCCGUGAACCUUUACUAUAGCUUGACACUGAACAUUGAGCCUUGAUGUGUAGGAUAGGUGGGAGGCUUUGAAGUGUGGACGCCAGUCUGCAUGGAGCCGACCUUGAAAUACCACCCUUUAAUGUUUGAUGUUCUAACGUUGACCCGUAAUCCGGGUUGCGGACAGUGUCUGGUGGGUAGUUUGACUGGGGCGGUCUCCUCCUAAAGAGUAACGGAGGAGCACGAAGGUUGGCUAAUCCUGGUCGGACAUCAGGAGGUUAGUGCAAUGGCAUAAGCCAGCUUGACUGCGAGCGUGACGGCGCGAGCAGGUGCGAAAGCAGGUCAUAGUGAUCCGGUGGUUCUGAAUGGAAGGGCCAUCGCUCAACGGAUAAAAGGUACUCCGGGGAUAACAGGCUGAUACCGCCCAAGAGUUCAUAUCGACGGCGGUGUUUGGCACCUCGAUGUCGGCUCAUCACAUCCUGGGGCUGAAGUAGGUCCCAAGGGUAUGGCUGUUCGCCAUUUAAAGUGGUACGCGAGCUGGGUUUAGAACGUCGUGAGACAGUUCGGUCCCUAUCUGCCGUGGGCGCUGGAGAACUGAGGGGGGCUGCUCCUAGUACGAGAGGACCGGAGUGGACGCAUCACUGGUGUUCGGGUUGUCAUGCCAAUGGCACUGCCCGGUAGCUAAAUGCGGAAGAGAUAAGUGCUGAAAGCAUCUAAGCACGAAACUUGCCCCGAGAUGAGUUCUCCCUGACUCCUUGAGAGUCCUGAAGGAACGUUGAAGACGACGACGUUGAUAGGCCGGGUGUGUAAGCGCAGCGAUGCGUUGAGCUAACCGGUACUAAUGAACCGUGAGGCUUAACCUU